CGGGAUGCAGCACCAGUGGGGAAUAUUGCGCAAUGGGGGAAACCCUGACGCAGCAACGCCGCGUGAAGGAAGAAGGUCUUCGGAUUGUAAACUUUUGUCUUAUGGGAAGAACAAGGACGGUACCAUAGGAGGAAGCCACGGCUAACUACGUGCCAGCAGCCGCGGUAAUACGUAGGUGGCAAGCGUUGUCCGGAUUUACUGGGUGUAAAGGGCGUGUAGGCGGGUAGGUAAGUCAGAUGUGAAAUACCGGGGCUCAACCCCGGAGCUGCAUUUGAAACUGCUUAUCUUGAGUAUCGGAGAGGAAAGCGGAAUUCCCAGUGUAGCGGUGAAAUGCGUAGAUAUUGGGAGGAACACCAGUGGCGAAGGCGGCUUUCUGGACGACAACUGACGCUGAGGCGCGAAAGCGUGGGUAGCAAACAGGAUUAGAUACCCUAGUAGUC
Molecule: ribosomal RNA, 440 nt
Filed under: uncultured bacterium
Lineage: Bacteria
Description: partial 16S ribosomal RNA
Rfam family: Bacterial small subunit ribosomal RNA
Source: RNAcentral